CGCACAAUUUUUGUUCUCAUCCUGAAGCAGAGUUCUUAACCCGAGGUACUAUUUCAGGGUUAGCAGAGUCUGUAACCUGAAGGGUCUGCAACCUGAAGCAUCUGUAACCCGAGGUACCACUGUAGUGCAAAUGCAAAGAUUGCAACAUUGGUCAAAAGGCCUACAGAUUGGGGACAACAUCAAAGAGAACUGUGUUGCUAAGGAUGAAGUAAUCUCAAAUUCACCCUUAUCUCACACCCUUAUCUAGAGUGCUACUUCAAAAACAAUGGAACCCGUCCCAUUAGGGCAGCAUUCUUGGCUUCCCACCUGCAUAUAUAGGCAUGAACUCUGUGAAGGCAUCACAUUUGCUAGUUCAUCCUUGGGACUCCUUUCAACGGCACACAAGUCUGAGAAGAACCAUGAAGUUCGUCUGUCUCUUCUUUGCCGUGGUCUUCCUUGGCAUUUCCCAGUCUGAUGAAGCCGAUGUGCAAAAGAAAUGGAGAAAGCCCUUGGAAGACUUGCGUGGCCUUCAGGGCCAAGACCCAGCUUUGCCAGCUGACGAUGAUGAAGCUUUGAAGGAUGAAGGAAACAUGAAACGGAGGAAUGGUACCAAUCUAUGUGAGAGUGCCGGUGGUAAAUGCUUUUUCGCCUUCUGCCCUCGUGGAUCUAUGCGCAUUGGAAAAUGCGGCCGAUUCCGUCGCUGCUGUAAAGCAAACUGAAGUAACUGAGAGGGAUUUCAA
This 719-nucleotide long non-coding RNA is filed under the name Podarcis muralis (Common wall lizard). Its description in RNAcentral is "lncRNA (ENSPMRG00000000518.1)". Lineage: Eukaryota; Metazoa; Chordata; Lepidosauria; Squamata; Lacertidae. The record is from RNAcentral.